UUAUGACUCAGGAUGAACGCUAGCUACAGGCUUAACACAUGCAAGUCGAGGGGCAGCAUUGGAGUAGCAAUACUCAGAUGGCGACCGGCGCACGGGUGAGUAACACGUAUCCAACCUGCCGCUUACUCGGGGAUAGCCUUUCGAAAGAAAGAUUAAUACCCGAUGGUAUAAAGAGUUCGCAUGUUCUCUUUAUUAAAGAAUUUCGGUAAGCGAUGGGGAUGCGUUCCAUUAGAUAGUUGGCGGGGUAACGGCCCACCAAGUCUACGAUGGAUAGGGGUUCUGAGAGGAAGGUCCCCCACAUUGGAACUGAGACACGGUCCAAACUCCUACGGGAGGCAGCAGUGAGGAAUAUUGGUCAAUGGACGAGAGUCUGAACCAGCCAAAAGUAGCGUGAAGGAUGACUGCCCUAUGGGUUGUAAACUUCUUUUAUAAGGGAAUAAAGUGAGGGACGUGUCCCUUUUUGUAUGUACCUUAUGAAUAAGGAUCGGCUAACUCCGUGCCAGCCGCCGC
RNAcentral lists this ribosomal RNA (510 nucleotides) under uncultured bacterium. RNAcentral's name for it is "bacterial SSU rRNA". It matches the Rfam family "Bacterial small subunit ribosomal RNA", at positions 17 to 518 of the family's 1533-position model. The record is from RNAcentral.